This is a long non-coding RNA of Spinacia oleracea (spinach), 225 nucleotides long. RefSeq lists it as uncharacterized. The record is from RefSeq and is a predicted model, not a curated record. Lineage: Eukaryota; Viridiplantae; Streptophyta; Magnoliopsida; Caryophyllales; Amaranthaceae. The transcript has 2 exons.
CGGACUUGGAGCUCAGGAUGAACGAUCCAUCGAACGGGACGUAUAAACUACGGUUGAGGUACGAAGAAGAUCAUGGGAUGCCUUAGAGUGAGGAUGCAACCACCAAAUUCACGAUCGAUGUUUAGUAAAGAUAACUAUGUCAUUAGUAAUAAAGGGAUGUAUUAUUUAAAGUCUAAGUUUGAUUUCAUGAUUUGAGUUAGAUUUUAAUAUUAAUGUUUAAUCAAA